This is a long non-coding RNA of Tachysurus vachellii, 1588 nucleotides long. RefSeq lists it as uncharacterized. The transcript is spliced from 3 exons. The record is from RefSeq and is a predicted model, not a curated record. Lineage: Eukaryota; Metazoa; Chordata; Actinopteri; Siluriformes; Bagridae.
AGUACCCGGAGGAAACCCCCAAGGCACGGGGAGAACACGCAAACUCCACACACACAAGGUGGAGGUGGGAAUCGAACCCCGACCCUGGAGGUGUGAGGCGAAUGUGCUAACCACUAAGCCACCGUUCCCCCCUUAAUAAUAAAAAGCCUGAGGUGACUGUGGUGAGGAAACAAAGAAACCUUGAGAGGAACCAGACUCAAAUGGGAACCUCAUCCUCAUUUGGGUGACACUGGAGGGCGUCAUCGGGCAUCAAGGCAGGAUACCCCCUGGACGGAGUGCCAACCCAUCGCAGGACACACACACACACUCUCAUUCACUCACGCAAUCACACACUAGGGACAAUUUUCCAGAGAUGCCAAUCAACCUACCAUGCAUGUCUUUGGACUGGGGGAGGAAACCGGAGUACCCGGAGGAAACCCCCGAGACACGGGGAGAACAUGCAAACUCCACACACACAAGGUGGAGGCGGGAAUCGAACCCCGACCCUGGAGGUGUGAGGCGAACGUGCUAACCACUAAGCCACCGUGCCCCCUUAUUCUGACUUACUCUGUUCUUAUUUUGAUUUUGUAUCUCAUUAUUCUGAAUUAGAAACUUACUGUUAAUUCGUUGUAUUGAGCCUGUGCCUUAUUUAAACACUGAUUAGCAGCAUUAUAUAAGCUCCAGUGUUGAUUGUAGUGUUGUUAUUGUGUUGCCAUGUGUACCAUAAUCUUGCUCAUAUGUCUGCAUGUCUUCCUGCAUGUCUUUCAUUGUAUUUUCUGUACAGGUUCACGCCUCUGGAGUUUACAGUUGUAGUUGUUGUUUUGCAAUCCAUAUAGCAAAAAUCUGUACUUGCAAUUUAUUUGAUCAACAUUUUUUUCUUUUCUGCAUAUGAACUCACAGGAUGCUAUAUUGCUUAUGAACGUAGGUGAUAUUUUCUGCAUAUGGUCUGUAUGAGACGAAAACCUUUUUAUGACAUCCCAUACAGUAAGAAGCUCUUCCAUAACCAAAUGACUUGUUAUUCAGAAUGUAACCAAUAACAAAUGCUAAUAAAGGACUGAGUUUCCACUACUAACUAAUCAUUUAAAUAAAUCUUACAUUUUUUUGGUUCAUGCUGUUUGUUAUAGGAAAAUUAUCAAUGCCUGCAAUGUGUUUGUGUGUUGUUAGAGAUGACAAGACACGUGUCUGUGAUAAUUAUUUCAGCAGAGAUCUUACAGUUUUGUAAAAAGAACUGCAUAUUUAUGGAUUAUGAGAUAAAUAGUGGUUCGUUUGAUUUAGUGCUCCUAAUCUACCACUGAGUAUUUAGUACCCAUUUAUUCUUGCUUGCUUCACUGAUUGGGGUUUGUCUUCUGCUUCUUCUGUUUCUAUAGCAUUUAUGGAGAUGUAUUUAAUACUUACAUGGCUACCUCACCUAUUUGCUAGCUUUAAUACAGUAUAUUUCAAGCUGCUAUACUUUGCUGCUUCUAAUGAGAUUUUCAUAAGGCAUAGAGUCAGGAAAAUGGUUAAUUUGAUUUAGAUUGGUUGUUAAAUGGAUCCAUUUUGCACAGAAAAAAAAAAACAGAACAUUGCAGAAAAACAGUUUCACUCUGCCAACUCACAUGUUCAAGAGAGA